GCGGCUGGGGGCUGUGCUGUGCUUGUGCGGCUCCGGGCCGUGCCGUUCCGGCCGUGCUAUACGGCUCCGGCCGUG
Molecule: transfer RNA, 75 nt
Filed under: Streptomyces sp. M56
Lineage: Bacteria; Bacillati; Actinomycetota; Actinomycetes; Kitasatosporales; Streptomycetaceae
Description: tRNA-Arg
Source: RNAcentral